Molecule: long non-coding RNA, 351 nt
Filed under: Fukomys damarensis (Damara mole-rat)
Lineage: Eukaryota; Metazoa; Chordata; Mammalia; Rodentia; Bathyergidae
Description: lncRNA (ENSFDAG00000031930.1)
Source: RNAcentral
UUCAAAUCCAAUUUAUCUGUUGUUUCUUUUGUUACUUAUGUUGAUCUAAGGACCAUACUGAGAUAAUCACUGUUUGAGAAAUGCGAUACCAGAAGGAGUCAAGUGAGGAAUGUUUACAAAUCUGAUCUGGAUAGGUUAAUUAGGGGACGUGGGGUGUGUUCCAAAAGGAGAGCAUACAUGAGGAAAUUGAGAAGCUGGAAGAAGGCCAGUUCAUCUGGAAUGGGGAAGGGAAGAAUGGCAAGGAAUGAAAUUAGAGGUGGAGGAGAGCCAGAUUGUGAUUAAGAUGGUAAGCCAUAAAAGGAUUUUGAUUUUGAUUCCAAGAAUGGUGUGAAAGUAUUUAAGCGUAAAGAG